AGAGUUUGAUCCUGGCUCAGGACGAACGCUGGCGGCGUGCCUAACACAUGCAAGUCGAACGAAGAGGUAACAGUUUAGUUUACUAAACAGUUACUUACUUAGUGGCGAACGGGUGAGUAACGCGUGGGUAACCUGCCCUUAAGACCGGAAUAACAGCUGGAAACGGCUGCUAAUGCCGGAUACAUUUAUCUUAAGGCAUCUUAAGAUAAAGAAAGCUGGCCUCUGACCCAAGCUAGUGCUUAAGGAUGGACCCGCGUCUGAUUAGCUAGUUGGUGGGGUAACGGCCUACCAAGGCAACGAUCAGUAGCCGGCCUGAGAGGGUGACCGGCCACACUGGGACUGAGACACGGCCCAGACUCCUACGGGAGGCAGCAGUGGGGAAUCUUCCGCAAUGGACGAAAGUCUGACGGAGCGACGCCGCGUGUACGAAGAAGGCCUUCGGGUUGUAAAGUACUGUUGUUGGGGAAGAACGGCUCAAGUGUGAAUAAUGCUUGAGAUUGACGGUACCCAACGAGGAAGCCCCGGCUACUACGUGCCAGCAGCGCGGUAACACGUAGGGGCGAGCGUUGUCGGAUUAUGGCGUAAGGCGCGUAGGCGCGUUAGUCUGAUGUGAAGUGCGGGCUAACCCGUAAGCAUGAACUGAUGGCUGAG
This 651-nucleotide ribosomal RNA is filed under the name uncultured Bacillota bacterium. RNAcentral describes it as "bacterial SSU rRNA". It matches the Rfam family "Bacterial small subunit ribosomal RNA", at positions 8 to 646 of the family's 1533-position model. Lineage: Bacteria; Bacillati; Bacillota. The record is from RNAcentral.